CAGGUGCUGCAUGGCUGUCGUCAGCUCGUGCGUGAGAUGUUGGGUUAAGUCCCGUAACGAGCGCAACCCUGUCCUUAGUUACCAGCACGUUAUGGUGGGCACUCUAAGGAGACUGCCGGUGACAACCGGAGGAAGGUGGGGAUGACGUCAAGUCAUCAUGGCCCUUACGGCCUGGGCUACACACGUGCUACAAUGGUCGGUACAAAGGGUUGCCAAGCCGCGAGGUGGAGCUAAUCCCAUAAAACCGAUCGUAGUCCGGAUCGCAGUCUGCAACUCGACUGCGUGAAGUCGGAAUCGCUAGUAAUCGUGAAUCAGAAUGUCACGGUGAAUACGUUCCCGGGCCUU
This 345-nucleotide ribosomal RNA is filed under the name uncultured Pseudomonas sp. RNAcentral's name for it is "bacterial SSU rRNA". It matches the Rfam family "Bacterial small subunit ribosomal RNA", at positions 1035 to 1382 of the family's 1533-position model. The record is from RNAcentral. Lineage: Bacteria; Pseudomonadati; Pseudomonadota; Gammaproteobacteria; Pseudomonadales; Pseudomonadaceae.